This 408-nucleotide ribosomal RNA is filed under the name uncultured bacterium. Its description in RNAcentral is "bacterial SSU rRNA". It matches the Rfam family "Bacterial small subunit ribosomal RNA", at positions 51 to 447 of the family's 1533-position model. The record is from RNAcentral.
ACACAUGCAAGUCGAGGGGAAACGACAUCGAAAGCUUGCUUUUGAUGGGCGUCGACCGGCGCACGGGUGAGUAACGCGUAUCCAACCUGCCCACCACUUGGGGAUAACCUUGCGAAAGUAAGACUAAUACCCAAUGAUAUCUCUAGAAGACAUCUGAAAGAGAUUAAAGAUUUACCGGUGAUGGAUGGGGAUGCGUCUGAUUAGCUUGUUGGCGGGGUAACGGCCCACCAAGGCAACGAUCAGUAGGGGUUCUGAGAGGAAGGUCCCCCACAUUGGAACUGAGACACGGUCCAAACUCCUACGGGAGGCAGCAGUGAGGAAUAUUGGUCAAUGGACGAGAGUCUGAACCAGCCAAGUAGCGUACAGGAUGACGGCCCUAUGGGUUGUAAACUGCUUUUAUAAGGGAAU